ACGUUUAUUCAUAAAUCUGGUCCUUCACCGUCACGUGUGUGUUGUAUUUUUGCCAAAUCCACCAACAGCAAUUUCCAAUUUCCCUAUUUUCGAGUCACGGAUAGGUAACUUUCCUAAAACAUUACUAUUGGUUAUAUAGUUGGGCAAACAUACAAUACACACGUGACGGUGAAGAACCAGAUUUAUAAAUAAACGU
Paramuricea clavata is the source of this 196-nucleotide non-coding RNA. The record is from the annotation of a GenBank genome assembly. Lineage: Eukaryota; Metazoa; Cnidaria; Anthozoa; Malacalcyonacea; Plexauridae.